AGAGAUAUUGACAGUCCUAAUG
This 22-nucleotide non-coding RNA is filed under the name Arabidopsis thaliana (thale cress). The record is from RNAcentral. Lineage: Eukaryota; Viridiplantae; Streptophyta; Magnoliopsida; Brassicales; Brassicaceae.